This 167-nucleotide ribosomal RNA is filed under the name Cordylanthus ramosus. Its description in RNAcentral is "5.8S ribosomal RNA". It matches the Rfam family "5.8S ribosomal RNA". From Rfam's summary of the family: 5.8S ribosomal RNA (5.8S rRNA) is a component of the large subunit of the eukaryotic ribosome. It is transcribed by RNA polymerase I as part of the 45S precursor that also contains 18S and 28S rRNA. RNAcentral also lists the same sequence under 1 other name. Lineage: Eukaryota; Viridiplantae; Streptophyta; Magnoliopsida; Lamiales; Orobanchaceae. The record is from RNAcentral.
CAUAACGACUCUCGGCAACGGAUAUCUCGGCUCUCGCAUCGAUGAAGAACGUAGCGAAAUGCGAUACUUGGUGUGAAUUGCAGAAUCCCGUGAACCAUCGAGUCUUUGAACGCAAGUUGCGCCCGAAGCCUCUUUGGCCAAGGGCACGCCUGCCUGGGCGUCACGCA